AACGAACGCUGGCGGCAUGCCUAACACAUGCAAGUCGAACGAGACCUUCGGGUCUAGUGGCGCACGGGUGCGUAACGCGUGGGAACCUGCCCUUAGGUUCGGAAUAACUCCCCGAAAGGGGUGCUAAUACCGGAUAAUGUCUUCGGACCAAAGAUUUAUCGCCUUUGGAUGGGCCCGCGUUGGAUUAGCUAGUUGGUAGGGUAAAAGCCUACCAAGGCGACGAUCCAUAGCUGGUCUGAGAGGAUGAUCAGCCACACUGGGACUGAGACACGGCCCAGACUCCGACGGGAGGGAGCAGUGGGGAAUAUUGGACAAGGGGCGAAAGCCUGAUCAAGCAAUGCCGCGUGAGUGAUGAAGGCCUUAGGGUUGUAAAGCUCUUUUACCCGGGAUGAUAACGACAGUACCGGGAGAAUAAGCUCCGGCUAACUCCGUG
RNAcentral lists this ribosomal RNA (433 nucleotides) under uncultured bacterium. Its description in RNAcentral is "partial 16S ribosomal RNA". It matches the Rfam family "Bacterial small subunit ribosomal RNA", at positions 29 to 507 of the family's 1533-position model. The record is from RNAcentral.